Molecule: ribosomal RNA, 762 nt
Filed under: uncultured Glomus
Lineage: Eukaryota; Fungi; Glomeromycota; Glomeromycetes; Glomerales; Glomeraceae
Description: eukaryotic LSU rRNA
Rfam family: Eukaryotic large subunit ribosomal RNA
Source: RNAcentral
GCAUAUCAAUAAGCGGAGGAAAAGAAGAUAACAAUGAUUCCUUAGUAACGGCGAGUGAAGGGGGAAAAGCUCAAAUUUUAAAUCGGCGUAGGUUUUACCUAGUCGAGUUGUAAUUUGAAGAAGCGUUUUCUACGUCCUGGUCGGCCCAAAUCCUUUGGGAUAAGGUAUCAUGGAGGGUGAGAAUCCCGUCCGGUUGACCUUAGGAUGUUUUACGUGACGCUCUCUAAGAGUCGAGUUGUUUGGGAUUGCAGCUCAAAAUGGGAGGUAAAUUUCUCCUAAGGCUAAAUACAGGCGAGAGACCGAUAGCGAACAAGUACCGUGAGGGAAAGAUGAAAAGAACUUUGAAAAGAGAGUCAAACAGUACGUGAAAUUGUUGAAAGGGAAACGAUUGAAGCCAGUCGUACCGUCGGGAAUUCAACUUCUUAGGUGCUUGUCGUGGGUGACGUUGAGCUUCGCGGCCUUCGUUGCUUUGCGUUAUGGUACUUUUGUUGUGCACUUUUCCGUAUGGUAGGUCAAUAUCGAUUUUGAUCGUCAUAAAAUGAUCGGAGGAAUGUGGCUUCGAUCUCGUAUCGGAGUGUUAUAGCCUUUGGUAGAUGUGACGAUUGGGAUCGAGGAUUGCAACGAAUACCCUUUGGGCUAUCUGUCUGACCUCUGAAAGUCGCUCGGGUGUCGAAAGCGUGCUUAUGACAUUCUAGUUGGCGGUCAAAAGGUUAGAACGCGAUUACAUUCGUUAAGGAUGUUGACGUAAUGGCUUUAAACGAC